CAACACAUGCAAAGUCGAACGGACCUUCGGGGUUAGUGGCGGACGGGUGAGUAACACGUGGGAACGUGCCUUUAGGUUCGGAAUAGCUCCUGGAAACGGGUGGUAAUGCCGAAUGUGCCCUUCGGGGGAAAGAUUUAUCGCCUUUAGAGCGGCCCGCGUCUGAUUAGCUAGUUGGUGAGGUAACGGCUCACCAAGGCGACGAUCAGCAGCUGGUCUGAGAGGAUGACCAGCCACACUGGGACUGAGACACGGCCCAGACUCCUACGGGAGGCAGCAGUGGGGAAUCUUGCGCAAUGGGCGAAAGCCUGACGCAGCCAUGCCGCGUGAAUGAUGAAGGUCUUAGGAUUGUAAAAUUCUUUCACCGGGGACGAUAAUGACGGUACCCGGAGAAGAAGCCCCGGCUAACUUCGUGCCAGCAGCCGCGGUAAUACGAAGGGGGCUAGCGUUGCUCGGAAUUACUGGGCGUAAAGGGCGCGUAGGCGGAUCGUUAAGUCAGAGGUGAAAUCCCAGGGCUCAACCCUGGAACUGCCUUUGAUACUGGCGAUCUUGAGUAUGAGAGAGGUAUGUGGAACUCCGAGUGUAGAGGUGAAAUUCGUAGAUAUUCGGAAGACACCAGUGGCGAAGGCGACAUAUUGGCUCAUUACUGACGCUGAGGCGCGAAAGCGUGGGGAACAAACAGGAUUAGAUACCCUGAUAGUCCACGCCGUAAACGAUGAUUGCUAGUUGUCGGGCUGCAUGCAGUUCGGUGACGCAGCUAACGCAUUAAGCAAUCCGCCUGGG
Molecule: ribosomal RNA, 780 nt
Filed under: uncultured bacterium
Lineage: Bacteria
Description: bacterial SSU rRNA
Rfam family: Bacterial small subunit ribosomal RNA
Source: RNAcentral